Molecule: non-coding RNA, 107 nt
Organism: Gossypium arboreum
Lineage: Eukaryota; Viridiplantae; Streptophyta; Magnoliopsida; Malvales; Malvaceae
Source: Rfam
AAUCCAUGUAUCGAAUAUUUCCAAAUUAAAUCCUUAAAUCGUUCCCAAGCUUUAUAUAGCUUUUCAUCCUCCAAUUGUUGAAAAGUCUUAAUGUUGUUUCUAAGCUU